Molecule: ribosomal RNA, 253 nt
Filed under: uncultured bacterium
Lineage: Bacteria
Description: partial 16S ribosomal RNA
Rfam family: Bacterial small subunit ribosomal RNA
Source: RNAcentral
UACAGGGGGGCAAGCGUUGUUCGGAAUUACUGGGCGUAAAGGGUCUGUAGGUGGCCAACUAAGUCAGACGUGAAAUCCCUCAGCUUAACUGGGGAACUGCGUCUGAUACUGGAUGGCUCGAGUGUGGGAGAGGAAUGCGGAAUUCCAGGUGUAGCGGUGAAAAUGCGUAGAUAUCUGGAGGAACACCGGUGGCGAAGGCGGCAUUCUGGACCACAACUGACACUGAGAGACGAAAGCCAGGGGAGCAAACGGG